RNAcentral lists this ribosomal RNA (465 nucleotides) under Vreelandella stevensii. Its description in RNAcentral is "partial 16S ribosomal RNA". It matches the Rfam family "Bacterial small subunit ribosomal RNA", at positions 338 to 795 of the family's 1533-position model. The record is from RNAcentral. Lineage: Bacteria; Pseudomonadati; Pseudomonadota; Gammaproteobacteria; Oceanospirillales; Halomonadaceae.
CCUACGGGUGGCAGCAGUGGGGAAUAUUGGACAAUGGGGGGAACCCUGAUCCAGCCAUGCCGCGUGUGUGAAGAAGGCCCUCGGGUUGUAAAGCACUUUCAGUGAGGAAGAACGCCUGGUGGUUAAUACCCAUCAGGAAAGACAUCACUCACAGAAGAAGCACCGGCUAACUCCGUGCCAGCAGCCGCGGUAAUACGGAGGGUGCGAGCGUUAAUCGGAAUUACUGGGCGUAAAGCGCGCGUAGGUGGCUUGAUAAGCCGGUUGUGAAAGCCCCGGGCUCAACCUGGGAACGGCAUCCGGAACUGUCAAGCUAGAGUGCAGGAGAGGAAGGUAGAAUUCCCGGUGUAGCGGUGAAAUGCGUAGAGAUCGGGAGGAAUACCAGUGGCGAAGGCGGCCUUCUGGACUGACACUGACACUGAGGUGUGAAAGCGUGGGUAGCAAACAGGAUUAGAUACCCGGGUAGUC